CUCGUCCAGGUCCCUCUGGAGGGACGCCUGGCAGUCGGCCCGCAGCUGCUCCCGGUCCACGGGGCCGAAGAGGCUGCGGCGGGCGGGGCCCUUCCUGGGCAGUCCCAGGAUGGACGGGUGCGUUUCCAUGGCUUACCAUUUUUUUUAGAUGCGUCCUCAGUGAAACUCAAGUGUACAGUAACUCAUGAGACUACACACGGGUCUACUUAAAGUUUUAAACAGGAGAAACUAUGAGUCACUAGCCUGGACCCUCCCACCUGACCGCCAGACAGAAACAUGCCUGAACAUAAUCUCGGAAGACAUGUUACGGCUAGUCAAGCUAUCGCUUGUCCAGCGAA
Molecule: long non-coding RNA, 338 nt
Organism: Gadus macrocephalus (Pacific cod)
Lineage: Eukaryota; Metazoa; Chordata; Actinopteri; Gadiformes; Gadidae
Exons: 2
Source: RefSeq, a predicted model, not a curated record